AUCAGUAAAUGUCAAUAUGACGUCUGAAGUAAUGACGUCACUGCCAAAUGGCUUGGGACGGACUGUAAUGUCACUAAGUGCGUUUUAGACUCGUUAAAGUUUGCUUGAAAGUUCGCACUUUUUUGAAAUUAACUCCAUCAAAGAAUUCAAGUGGAGUUAGAUCAGGCAUUCGAAGCGGCCAGUAAAUAAAAUCAUUGAAACCAGUUAAUGGAUGUAAAGAAAAUGACGAGAGAGCGAUUGAUAAUGAUAUUUUGACUGCAUAAGUAGACCAAAAAUAGAUGGAUGUUGCAGAAUUCCCCACGAACAAGCAAGGCUUAUAAAGGAAAACUGAAGAAAGUUUUUCAACUCCCUCCUAGAAGAAGACCAAUAUUUCAAAAUUCUAAUGGUUGGAACAAUCUGUUGGACGAAAUAAAACAAAAUUCCUGAGAUUUGCAGAUGAUUCAACCAUGUUUGCAGUGGCAAGAUUUGUAUCAGAAGAGGAAACGUCGGGCUUUCUGAAUCGAGUUAAGAUAGAUUCAUACGAAAUAUCCUAAAGAAAAUUCAAUGAGCAACUAAGACCCAGGAAAUAAUAAACAUCGUUUUGCUGUAAAAGAUAAUAAAAACUAGUUGGAUUUUUU
Long non-coding RNA from Dendroctonus ponderosae (mountain pine beetle), 617 nucleotides. RefSeq lists it as uncharacterized. The record is from RefSeq and is a predicted model, not a curated record. The transcript has 2 exons. Lineage: Eukaryota; Metazoa; Arthropoda; Insecta; Coleoptera; Curculionidae.